UGGAGGCAGCAGUGAGGAAUCUUGCGCAAUGGGCGAAAGCCUGACGCAGCAACGCCGCGUGGAGGAUGAAGGCCCUUGGGUUGUAAACUCCUGUCGGCUGGGAAGAAAUCGCGCGGGGUUAAUACCUCCGCGCGUUGACUGUACCAGCAAAGGAAGCCCCGGCUAACUCUGUGCCAGCAGCCGCGGUAAUACAGAGGGGGCUAGCGUUAUUCGGAAUUAUUGGGCGUAAAGGGCGCGUAGGCGGCCACGCGUGUCUUUCGUGAAAUCCCUCGGCUUAACUGAGGACGUGCGGAAGAAAUUGCGAGGCUCGAGUCCGGGAGAGGGGGGUGGAAUUCCCAGUGUAGCGGUGAAAUGCGUAGAUAUUGGGAGGAACACCGGUGGCGAAGGCGGCCCCCUGGACCGGUACUGACGCUGAUGCGCGAAAGCGUGGGUAGCAAACGGGAUUAGAUACCCCGGUAGUCC
Molecule: ribosomal RNA, 462 nt
Filed under: uncultured bacterium
Lineage: Bacteria
Description: bacterial SSU rRNA
Rfam family: Bacterial small subunit ribosomal RNA
Source: RNAcentral